AUUGAACGCUGGCGGCAGGCCUAACACAUGCAAGUCGAACGAGUGGCGGACGGGUGAGUAAUGUGUGGGAAACUGCCUGAUGGAGGGGUAUAACUACUGGAAACGGUAGCUAAUACCGCAUACUCUCGGAUGUGCCCAGAUGGGAUUAGCGAGUGGGUGGGGUAACGGCUCACCUAGGCGACGAUCCCUAGCUGGUCUGAGAGGAUGACCAGCCACACGGGAACUGAGACACGGUCCAGAAUCCUACGGGAGGCAGCAGUGGGGAAUAUUGGACAAUGGGCGCAAGCCUGAUGCAGCCAUGCCGCGUGUAUGAAGAAGGCCUUCGGGUUGUAAAGUACUUUCAGCGGGGAGGCGUUACCCGCAGAAGAAGCACCGGCUAACUCCGUGCCAGCAGCCGCGGUAAUAC
Molecule: ribosomal RNA, 406 nt
Filed under: uncultured bacterium
Lineage: Bacteria
Description: partial 16S ribosomal RNA
Rfam family: Bacterial small subunit ribosomal RNA
Source: RNAcentral